GCUGAGAUGACUUCGAACCUCUGAACUUCCUCCUUCCACAUCUGGAGUACUGGGAUGACAGCAGUUUGACCAGGCCAGGUCAAACACAGGGCUACUGAUUUGUGAGAGACUCCAGACACCACCAGCACUUUAGAGUUAAGGAGCUGGAACUCAGCUCUCCCAAGGUCGCAACAUUGAAUAUAACUCGUUUAACAAAACUGUCACUAAGGCUGACCUCAUCCUGGCCUCAGGCAUCUGCAUGGAAGAGGCAGAAGUUGCAGCCUUCAAUGAGAAAGAACAGAAAAAGUUGCAUUACCCAAACAUGAUUAAAGGCACCAGAGAGUUGAUGGUGUCUGUAAAUAUAACAUGAGUCGCUAUUGCUCUCUACUGCCUCCACCAAAGAGAUCCUGGGAAUUAAUAAGGCAAAUGAUCCAUCAAGAAGGGCUAUAGAUAUCACUGUAACAAAGGAGAGGAUGAGAGGCCUUUGAUUUCGCCUCUUCACCUUCCAUGCCUGGUUUUCUGCUUUGUGUUCCACCUAGUCCUGUCCACUAACUCCCACUCCACAGCUUUUUAUCUUCUCUGCAAAAUGUCCAGAGCCUUCUCAGUUAAAAGCCUGAGCCCAAGUAAAUGUUUUCUUGGCUCUCUUCCUGGUACAACUAGAUGUUCGAGAUUUGUUUACCAACCUGCUCACCUUGGAAAACAAUAGCCCACCCACACAAGAAACAAUGUUUGAUAUUUAUGAAUAUAAUAUUUCCUUGGUCUU
This is a long non-coding RNA of Mastomys coucha (southern multimammate mouse), 742 nucleotides long. RefSeq lists it as uncharacterized. The transcript has 4 exons. NCBI's taxonomy places the organism in Eukaryota, Metazoa, Chordata, Mammalia, Rodentia, Muridae. The record is from RefSeq and is a predicted model, not a curated record.